GGGAAGUACAGGCUACAGAGGAUCUCCUGGCCAUCCUGGUGAGGAAGGUGGGAUUGGAGACAGAGGUCCAGUUGGUUUCAAUGGGACUCGAGGAGAUAGGGGAUGUGCAGGUGACAGAGGCCGUAAGGGAUCUAGGGGUCAUCAGGGAAGUCAGGGUGAGCACGGUGAGAGUGGAUUUGAUGGCACUGAUGGAGAGCAGGUAAUCUUUGUUUGAAUCAUUAAUUAGCAAUUAGAGAAACUUAUUUC
Molecule: long non-coding RNA, 246 nt
Filed under: Coturnix japonica (Japanese quail)
Lineage: Eukaryota; Metazoa; Chordata; Aves; Galliformes; Phasianidae
Description: lncRNA (ENSCJPG00005000808.1)
Source: RNAcentral